UACGGAGGGGGCUAGCGUUGUCCGAAGUUACUGGGCGUAAAGCGCACGUAGGCGGCUUGGUAUGUCGGGUGUGAAAUCCCCGGGCUCAACCUGGGAACUGCAUCCGAAACUGCCUUGCUCGAGUAUGGGAGAGGGAAGUGGAAUUUCCGGUGUAGCGGUGAAAUGCGUAGAUAUCGGAAGGAACAUCAGUGGCGAAGGCGACUUCCUGGACCAAUACUGACGCUCAGGUGCGAAAGCGUGGGGAGCAAACAGG
RNAcentral lists this ribosomal RNA (253 nucleotides) under uncultured bacterium. RNAcentral's name for it is "partial 16S ribosomal RNA". It matches the Rfam family "Bacterial small subunit ribosomal RNA", at positions 524 to 776 of the family's 1533-position model. The record is from RNAcentral.